Molecule: ribosomal RNA, 497 nt
Filed under: uncultured bacterium
Lineage: Bacteria
Description: partial 16S ribosomal RNA
Rfam family: Bacterial small subunit ribosomal RNA
Source: RNAcentral
GAUGAACGCUGGCGGCGUGCCUAAUACAUGCAAGUCGAGCGAACAGACGAGGAGCUUGCUCCUCUGACGUUAGCGGCGGACGGGUGAGUAACACGUGGAUAACCUACCUAUAAGACUGGGAUAACUUCGGGAAACCGGAGCUAAUACCGGAUAAUAUAUUGAACCGCAUUGUUCAAUAGUGAAAGACGGUUUUGCUUUCACUUAUAGAUUGAUCCGCGCCGCAUUAGCUAGUUGGUUAGGUAACGGCUUACCAAGGCAACGAUGCGUAGCCGACCUGAAAGGGAGAUCGGACACACGGGAAGAGAGGCACAGUCCAGACUCCGGCGGUAGGAAGCAGUAGAGAAUCUUACGCAAGGGGCGAAAGCGUAACAGAGGAAAGCCGCGGGAGGGAUGAAGGUCUACGGAUGGGAGAACUAUGUUAUUAGGGAAGAUGAAAUGUGUAAGUAACUAUGAAGAUCUUGACGGUACCGAGUCAGAAAGCCACGGCUAACUACGUG